GGGCUACACACGUGCUACAAUGGCGGUGACAGUGGGAAGCUAUAUGGUGACAUAGUGCUGAUCUCUAAAAGCCGUCUCAGUUCGGAUUGUACUCUGCAACUCGAGUACAUGAAGGUGGAAUCGCUAGUAAUCGCGGAUCAGCAUGCCGCGGUGAA
This 155-nucleotide ribosomal RNA is filed under the name Gluconobacter oxydans. RNAcentral's name for it is "partial 16S rRNA". It matches the Rfam family "Bacterial small subunit ribosomal RNA", at positions 1211 to 1366 of the family's 1533-position model. Lineage: Bacteria; Pseudomonadati; Pseudomonadota; Alphaproteobacteria; Acetobacterales; Acetobacteraceae. The record is from RNAcentral.